UAUGUGAUCGUCUCUCGCAUAUCAAUAAGCGGAGGAAAAGAAACUAACAAGGAUUCCCUUAGUAACGGCGAGUGAAGCGGGAAGAGCUCAAAUUUGUAAAUCUUCAAGGUUUUACCUUGACGAAUUGUAGUUUAAAGAAGUGUUUUCUGUUGAAGUUUUGGUAAAAGUUCUUUGGAAUAGGACAUCAUAAGAGGGUGAGAAUCCCGUAUUUGACCAUUAUUUUCAGCUGUGUGAUACACUUUCAAAGAGUCGGAUUGUUUGGGAAUGCAGUCCAAAAUGGGUGGUAAAUUUCACCUAAAGCUAAAUAUUGGCGAGAGACCGAUAGCGAACAAGUACCGUGAGGGAAAGAUGAAAAGAACUUUGAAAAGAGAGUUAAACAGUACGUGAAAUUGUCAAAAGGGAAGCGUUUGACACCAGUGUUGUUUUCUCGAAAAUCAAUUAAAAAGAGUUAGAUUUUGUUGUGUAUUGACCUUAACAGCUUGCAUUUCAAUUUUCUUGCUUUUUUUAAUGCACUUUUCGUUUAACAAGUCAACAUCAGUUUCUUUUGUUGUAAAAAGGUCAUUGGAAGGUGGCUUUCCUUUCGGAGAAAGUGUUUAUAGCCUUUGACUCCUGCAAUCGGAGAGACUGAGGUCUGCAGCGUAGAUCCUUCGGGGUUAGAUACAUUUGUGCUAAGUUAUAGCUUUUUAUAGACAACUUGUUGACUAUGAUUAGUCUUGUAGCUUACUCGCUUAUGCUAUUUUACCUACGCUUAGGAUGUUGAAGAUGUAGCACAUCAU
This 776-nucleotide ribosomal RNA is filed under the name uncultured Neocallimastigales. RNAcentral describes it as "partial large subunit ribosomal RNA". It matches the Rfam family "Eukaryotic large subunit ribosomal RNA", at positions 24 to 620 of the family's 3401-position model. Lineage: Eukaryota; Fungi; Neocallimastigomycota; Neocallimastigomycetes; Neocallimastigales. The record is from RNAcentral.